GUUUAUUUUUCUUAUUAAUUUUAUCAGUAAUAAUAUUGAUCGAUACUUUCUUGGACUAACUUAUUACAUAUGCCAAUUUAAAUUUAAGUUUUGUUACUUAUUUAAAGUGUUUUUUUCAAGUAUUAUUGAUAUUUCUUAAUAAUAUUCUUUUUUAUAAUUUAAAAUUACACAAUUGUGUAAUUAUAAUUUAAAAUUAUAAUUUAAGAAUUAUAUAUAAUUGUAAUAGCCAAUUUUAACCCGGGCCCAAAUUAACCAAUCAAAUCCAAUAAAACUUGGGCCAAUCCUGACCCAAUUGCAUUUGGCCCAAUAAGGCCCAAGUGUGCUAACCCUAGCCUAACCCUAAGCAGCAGUUAGCAGUAGCCACCCCACGUCGCAGCAACCUCCAGUGCCGUGCACGCCCCACGUUCGGCAGCCUCCCAAACUGUCCCACAUCUUUGCUGGCACGUCCACUCGCACAACGCUCACACAUUUGCAAGCCACAGACAACACUAAUAGGAUAUACACACAGCAAAACAGUUGUAAAAGGAUUUAGGGAGGGCUAUAUAAAGGCCAAUGAUUUUCUGUAACUUGGUUAGAAAAAUUUUGUACUAAAAAGAGAAAAAUCUUGUAUUGUAAAAAUACUGAAAUACAAACAAAGAAUCAAAAACAAUUUUUGAAGGUAAUUUUCUUUGUGUUUUAUUUAUUUAUCUACUUUUUUUUUCUUUGCUUCUCUGUUUUUGGUGCAAAAGAAAAAGCAAAAAGAAAAGGACGAAACUUACAUGAAUUGGAGUCGGCGGCGAAGCUUGAACGGCGGUGGCGUGGCGAUAGUUAGGGCUUUAAAGAAGGCCUAGCAGAUCCCUCUUUCUUCCCUCUGUUGUUUUAAAAAAGAAAAAGGAAGAUGAAGCAAUUUUGCGCCUAUUGCUGCUGCAGAGUAGGCUUUUAAUUGGAGAUGAAAAGGGUUUUAAACACUGAUGGGUUAUUUGCGUUUUUAAUCCUUCAUUUUAUCCCAUCAUUUCAAAAUCAUUGUGGUUUGUUUUCAAAUUUUGCCAUGAAAUGUUGAAUUUGUUUUAUUUUAAUCCAUUGCUGCGUGGAGUUUUGGACGGAGGGAUUAAUUUCACUUUCGGUCCUCCACUGUUAACUGCAUGUUCCAUUUGAUCCAUUGGUGUUUUGUUUAUUUCAGAUUUUCCCCUGAAACUUCAAUUAUUUUCAAUUUAAUCCAUAAUCUUUCAUUUUAAGUUUUUUAGUUUAUUUUAUUAAUAUAAUUAUUUUUAUUUUUAUUAUUACUAUUAUUAUUAUAUUUAUUAUACUUACAUAUAUACACGCAUGUGUACUUUAUAAUAUAUGUGUAUAUUUUUUAUUUCUAAAUGUUUUAAAUAUAUAUAUAUAUAGUGCGUAUAUAUUUUAUUACCAUAUUUUAUAUAUAUAUAGUUUAUAUAUAUAUAUUAUAUACAUUCAUAUUUUUUAUAAUUAUUUAUGUUUUCAUGUUUUAUAAUUCAUAUGUUUAUACAUUUUUUAUAAUAUGUACAAAUCAUAUACUUCAUUAUUACUUUAUUUUUCUUAGUUUUAUAUGCAUACGUACAUAUACUUACAUUUUAUGAUUUUCACAUCGUUUUUCAUUUUUUUUAAAAGAAAUUAAAAUAUAUAUUUUUUACAUAUAUGCAUAUACAUAUAUUAUUAAAAACUUUUAUAAAUAUAUUUUCCAUAUAUUUUUAUAUAUACAUAUAUACCUAUAUUUUCAUAAUUAUUAAUAUAUUAUGCUUACGUUUUUAUUUUUAUGACAACUCAUUAUAUUUUAUGAUUAUGUUCUUUUUAUAAUUUUUGUAUACAUAUAUAGGUAUAUUUUAAAUUAGAGUAAUGAUUUCAUGUUACGCAUUAGCGUUUUAUCAUACUUUUAAAGAAAAAUCUAUUUUUGCUUCGUCAAAGCAUUAAAAUCGUUUUUUUUAAUUUUUAAAUAUUUAGCAAUCAUGGUUCUCGAGAAAGAUCGUGUCCUAACUUACUGGAUCAUGAUCAUUUUUUCGAUGAAUUUAACGAGUUAAGUAUUUAUUUUACAAUAAAUUUGCAAUUUUCAAAUAAAACCUUAUUCUCAGGAAUUCAAAAUGUCGGGUCCUAACUUACUGGUCGUGACAUUUCGUUAUCUCGAAAUAAGAAUUUCUAAAACAAAAAGUAAUAUUCGGUAUUUUGAAGAUAUAAAAUAUUGUGCCCUAACUUACUGGGUGUGGUGUUUUAUUUCUUUGAAAUGAGAAUGUUUUAUCAUUUUAGAUCCAUUCACGGGUUAAAAAUUUCUAUUUAAAAUCUUUUCAAAUUUUCGACAUCAAGACAUUAAAUAAUCAAUUUGGUACCGAUUUUUGGGCGUUACGAGGGUGCUAACCCUUCCUCGUGCGUAACUGACUCCCGAACCUGUUUUCUCAAAUUUCGCAGGCCAAAAUUGUUUUUAAGGUGAGCCGAUCACACCUCAAUCAAGGAUCGGUGGCGACUCCAAUUUUUAUUUUCAAAGUCGAUAACUUAUUUUUGUUUUCAAAAAAAUGGUUUUGACAGCUUGACGACUCCAGUGGGGACCAUUAGAGAGUCGAGCCAUGAAUUGAUUAUCUUUUGUCUUUUUUGUCAAAAAUUAAAGUUGUUUUAAAACCUGAUUUUCUCUUUGUAUUCAUUAGUUUUAAUUGUCAUAUGCUUGUUUGGUUGGUUUAAGUCUGUCGGUUUAUUUGCAUUUUUGCAUUUCAUGGUCAAUUUUACCCCUCUAAGUGGAAGUGAGAAACUAGUCCUUCGUGAGGUUUUCACCUCCGUGUACGAUAGUGGAUCGCUUUCGGAAUACAUCUGUACCUAUGUCUUCGUGAGAUUUUCAUCUCCGUGCAGCCAUAGGGAAAUAUAUUCCCCUGAACCGAACUUGGUCCAUAUGAGCCUAUAAUGGGUGAGGAUCGAGGAAUCUGCUGGUUCGGGUACCCUUGCUCUAGAAGCCAAAACCUCAUAUAGUGAACCUUAGGAACCCACCCUAGGUAGAAUUACUUUGAACCUUAGUAGACACCUAAUUAGGAGUUUUUACUAUUUCUUGGUUGUAUUGUAUUUAAUUGUUACUGACUUUUUGUGUUUUACUCUGAUUGCAUGGCAUUACAAUUACAUGGCAUUCCAUUAUAAAGUGGCGUUUCGUAUUCGGUUGCUAGACAGAAAGUUUAUCAUGGGAAAUGGGUUUCUUGAUAAAGUGGAAGAUAAUACGGCUGCCUGAAUAUAUUCCAAGAAACGCUAGAAGGGUGAUGGAGGAAUACAUGACUUUACUUCGUGCCUCAAGGUCAAGCUGAUUAUUCAAGAGUUUCUGACAUUUCAACCUCAUUAAAGAAGCUGAUAACCCUUACGAGGAUGCGCAGACGUUGGAUUAUAACCAGGAUCAAGUAAAAAGGGAGGUAGAGGAGAUACCCCUUUUGAAGAAUUCGCAAGAUUUAUCUUAGCAUCCAGAUGAAGAAGGAGAAGAUGUCUUCGCCUGGAGUAUGAGGCAAAGCCGUAUAUAUAUAUCCGCUUUAUGUAAAGAAAUUCGUCUUCUAGUAAAGUUUUCUAAAUGGAAUUGAAUCAGAAUCAACGUUUCUUUUUGCAUUCAUCUCAUGCAUUUGUAUUAAUCUCAUCAUAUGCACUAAAAUCCACCAAAAGAGCCUAGUCAAUUAAAAUUAUUCUUCAGUUAACCCGGAAACCAACCAGCCAACCCAGCCCCAUUACAGUACAAGAGCGAAAUCAAAGAAUAUGGAUCAAAUAUUAGAAAAGCUCGAGCAAUUUCAAAAAGACAUACAGGAUCAGCUCCAGCAACAAAUGAAGGAACAGCUUGAAAAAAUUUAGCAGAAGUUGAUGGACAAAAUGGAGGAAUCUUAAGGAAGCAUGAUAACCCAGUUAACUCAGCUCUUAAUUGGCGGAAAGGAUAAGGGAAGGAGCCCUGUAACAAAUAUUGAGGAGGAAGGCGAGGAUGGACUCCAGUAUCCUCCGGGCUUCACUCCCCCAGAUGUGCAGCCCUAAGUGGAAAUGUGCCCGCGUAAAUCUUCUGUUACCAUUAGGCCUCAGCAAUUUCAGGCCGAUACUUCAAAGGCGAUGAAUUACCAAACUGGAUCAGGCUCUAGCCCUGAGAAUAUUCCCGUCAAUCUUGUAGUCCCUAACUUCGAUGAAGUGGUCGAAAAGGAAAAAGCAAAGGAAGAAUUGCCAAAGCAAUUUGAAGAAAGAUGGAAGUGGGUCGAAGAGAAGUUCAAGGCAAUGGAAAGUACUGAGAGAUAUGGUGGGAUUGAUGCUAAAGAUCUGAGUUUGGUACUAGAUUUGGUGCUACCUCAAAAGUUCAAAAUGCCAGAAUUCGAGAAGUAUAAUGGGACCAGUUGCCUUGAGGCCUACAUUACCAUGUUUUGUAGACGAAUGGCUGGGUAUGUCAAUAAUGAGCAGUUAUUGAUACACUGUUUUCAGGAUAGCCUCACGGUGGCAGCGUCUAAAUGGUAUAAUCAAUUGAGCCGUGCUAAGAUUAGUUACUGGAGGAUUUGGCACAGGCUUUUAUGAAGCAGUACAGUCAUGUGGCAGAAAUGGUUCCUGACAGAAUUACUUUGCAAAACAUGGAGAAGAAGUCGAAUGAAGGUUUCAGGCAGUACGCUCAGAGAUGGAGGGAGGUUGCAGUUCAGGUCCAACCACCGCUCCUUGAAAGAGAAAUGGUGAUGCUCUUUAUAAAUACGUUGAAGGCCCCAUUCAUCACACAUAUGUUGGGAAGUGCCACAAAAAACUUUUCUGACAUAGUUAUGAGUGGUGAGAUGAUUGAGAGUGCUAUUAGGAGCGGAAAGAUUGAUGCUAGAGGAAAUAACAGAAAUCAAACCCCAAAGGAAGAAGAAAAUGAGGUGAACAGCGUGAACACGUACAGCAAAUCGAUUACGGUGAAUCAGCCAAGAAAGGUGGUUACUAAUCAGCAGGGUUCAUCAAGACAAGAAUCAGGUGUGAAGCCAGGUACUGAGAAGCUCCAGUUCACACCAAUUUCGAUGUCCUAUAAGGAGUUGUAUCAAAGCUUGUUCGAUGCGCAUGUUGUUGCUCCUCAUUACUUAAAACCUCCACAACCUCUGUAUCCUAAGUGGUAUGAUGCGAACGCGCAAUGUGACUACCACGCGGGAAUUACGGGGCACUCAAUAGAGAAUUGCAUUACCUUCAAAAAGCUAGUUGAAAAAUUCAUCAACAUAGGUAUUGUCAAGUUGGGUGACUCAUCUAAUGCAGAAAAUCCGCUACCCAAUCAUGAUUGACAAUAAGGUGAAUGCGAUGUAUGAAGAGAUGUUGGGAAGUGUUCACAUCAAUGUCAUAGAUGAAGACACAAUCGAAAAGGGAACUUAUUAGAUAUCCACCUUUGUAAACCUGAGAGUGUUUUAAACAAUCGAACUGCGGAAGAAAUAUUUGUAGUAUUUAGGGCUUAUUUAGAGCAAUGUUCAAAACACACUUGUUGCUUUUAGCCUAGAGCCAAUAAGAAUUCCUUUGUGAAGGAGGCUCAUGUCUAAAUGUCGUUAUUUUAAUGAAAUGCAUCCUUGCGAUCAUUUUUGAACCAAUAUUCUUUCAGUCUGUCUGAAUAGUUAUUCUUUCAUUCUUUUGGAUUUUCUUCCACAUCAUUCAUUCAUUCAUAAUCAUAUUGUAUAGAUAGUUCUUCAUAAAUCUAUACAUUCUUUUGUAUAUUCUUUGAUAUUUAUUAUGGCCCCCCAGAUAUCAAUGACAUGAAUGACACUGCUACAGAUUUAGAAUCUCUUUUUGAGCAAGACAUGUGUUUAGAGGGAUCUCCUGACUUUGAAGAUGACAUAGAUCGUAGCCUAUCUCCAGACUUGUUGAGGAUGGUAGAGCAAAAAGAGAGCAAAUUUUACCUCCUGAAGAGACAAUGGAGAUUGUGACUUUAAGAGAACAUGCAUAACCGGAGAAAUGAAGCAAGACCUUGUUAAGUUACUUCGAGAGUUCAAAGAUGUUAUCGCAUGGUCAGACCAGGACGUGCCCGAGUUAAGUACUGAUAUUGUAAUUUGAGCAACAGCACAACGUCAAAAAUUUGCAGUAUGUUCAAGAUUCACAUCAUGAACGAUGUAGUUAGAAUUCUUUACCGGGGUAAUACCUUCUUCUCUGGCUUAUUCCGUUGAAGUCAAGUUGUAAUUUUUUCCGUAUUUUUGUUAGAUUUGAUCCUAAUUGAAGAGGAAGAUCUAAAAUUUUCUCGUCAUAGUUAAAUUUCGCCCCAAAAGGCUCUAUGAGAGAAACCUGAUGCCAAAGAAGAUCUUUCGUAUACAAAAUGAAAGUGGAAGUUAUGGGGAAGACCUUAUCUGGAAUAAUAUUGAUUCUGAUCGAAAGAGAUGACCAGGACUUGCCUAAUCCUAUAAGUGCAGAUUCAAUCCAAAAAAAGAAGAGAGAAAACAAAAAAAAAAACAAAAAAACAAAAAAAUAGGAAAAGAAAAAAAAGAAAAAGAACCCCACUGGGGCAAUGCCUUUCUCUUUAGCUUAUCACAGUUUUCCAUUUGAAAUUCUUUUUCUCCGGGUAUUGGCUAAGCUGAAGUAGGAUGAAGAUCCAAUCUCGAUAAGAUCAGUUGAACUUAAUUGAAGGAAAAAGGCUAUUCGUCACGGUCAGAUGUACCAAAAACGGAUGAUGCGAGCUUACAACAAAAAGGUUCGUCCCAGAAAAUUCCACGAGGGAAACCUGGUAUUGAAAAAGAUCCUUCGACAAAAGGAUUUUAGAGAAAAAUGAGUGUCAAAGUGGGAAUGUCCUUAUAUUGUAAAGAAGGCCUUUUUUGGAGGAACACUGAUUUUGAGUGAGACGGAUAGUAAAAACUUGUCUAAUCCUAUAAACUCAGAAUCAAUUAAGAAAUGCUUCACUUAAAGAAGGAGAGGACCAAGGUAAAAACCUGCAAAGGGCACUUUGAGUCACAAAAAAAAAGAAAAAAAAGAUGUGAAAAAUAAAAAAUAAAAAAUGAAAAAUGGAAAAAGUAAAAGUGGAGAGGCUAAGGUGAAAACCCGCAAAGGGCGCCUUAGACCAAAGGGGAUUUGAGUUGAAAACCCGAAAAUGGCGGCUCAAAUAUUGGUCAAAAUGGGCAUGAGGUAAUCAGAGCAGCUCAAAUGUUGAUUAGAAUGGGACAUGCUGUGAUCUUGAUAUGCCUUAGUCAGCAGGAAAGGGUACGCGACAUCUUGGGACAUCGACAGAGUAAUGUAGAUCUCCUAAACACAUGUCAAACUCAAAAUGGUCUUCAAGAAGUUUGUACAGAGAAGUUCAAGCUGCGACAUCUGGGGCACCUCGUCUCCGUACUAUUUAUUUUGAAUUUGUUAUUCUUGGAAUACUUCAUUCUUUUCCAAGAUACGCAUUCCCAAUCAAUUUCUUUGUUAUCUUUCUUUACUAUUUUUGAUAAUUUAUUCAUUUCGAGCUAUGCUCAAAACUAACUUUAUUCUUAUCCAUUGUUAUGAGCUUUUUGCAAGCAUGUUGCAUUGGAAUAAUGAUUAAUGGACUAAUAAAACUUUCACAAGGGAAGUUUUGCAUAUUACUCUAGAAGUUUCUAAACAAUAUAGGAGCCUGAAACAGGACUGUUGUUUAGAACGCACCAGGUUUAAAGGUUGGAAAUCUGAGAAGGAAAAGUCUAAAUUAGGACUUUCUUUUUGAUUUUGUUGUCAAAAACAUUGAACAAAAUGACAGGAUGAUAGGUUGGUGGCAAGACUUAGAUGAACAAGCAAGCAAUAAUCACCAAGUAAUAAAAAUGAGUUUCUUUGGAGAGAAGAAUCCUUCAUUCGUGCAUAGGCAUUUGGGUAUGACACCCUGAGAUUGGUAUGAAAGACCAAAGAGCUUCACAUUUUGCAUCCUUGAAUUGCGAUAGAUGAGGAUUGAGAAAAGACCAAAAUUUUCUACCCUUGGGUUACAGCGGGAGAAAGAUGGUACAAAUUUUACAUCCCAAUGGAUGAAACUUUGAGGUUUACAGUAAGGGGCAAUUUGAUCAAGCGUUUAUUUGGAGAUGUGAUCCGAACAAAAGACGUUGUAGCACGUCAGUGAUACGACUUUAAUAAACUUCGAGUAAUGACAACCUAAGCGGGAUCAUUCUCGGAGAGUAAAAUUUUGCAUUCAUGCAAACACCAUUCACACAUGUCUAGUUAGGAGCUUUUGAUUCAUUUUGAUCAUGCCAUCCUAAUCAUUAGGCAUAAUUAGGUUCAUUAUACAGGUCAUGUUCUCCGGAGAACAGAUCAGUGAAAGUAGCAGAUCUUGCCUUCCUGCAUCGACAGCGAAGGAGAUCGAAGAUACUAAUUCUAUCUCCCUGGUUGGUAGUGGAAUAGAUUGAAGAUUUCAGAUCUUAUCUCCCUAGGCAUUAGUGGAGCAGAUCGAAGACGACAGAUUUUACCUCCCUCUGGUUACAGUGGAGUACAUUGAAGCCGUAAUUCUAUCUCCCUGGUUGGUAGUGGAAUAGAUUGAAGAUUUCAGAUCUUAUCUCCCUAGGCAUUAGUGGAGAAGAUCGAAGAUGGCAGAUUUUACCUCCCUGUGGUUACAGUGGAGUACAUUGAAGCCGUAAUUCUAUCUCCCUGGUUGGCAGUGGGAUAGAUUGAAGAUUUCAGAUCUUAUCUCCUUAGGCAUUAGUAGAGUAGAUCAAAGAUGGUAGAUUUUACCUCCCUGAGGUUACAGUGGAGUACAUUGAAGCCAGUAAUUCUAUCUCCCUGGUUGGCAGUGGAAUAGAUUGAAGAUUUCAGAUCUUAUCUCCUUAAGCGGUAGUGGAGCAGAUCGAAGAUGGCGAAUUUUACCUCCCUGGGGUUACAGUGGAGUACAUUGAAGCCAGUAAUUCUAUCCCCCUGGUUGGCAGUGGAAUAGAUUGAAGAUUUCAGAUCUUAUUUCCCUAAGCAUUAGUGGAGCAGAUCGAAGAUGGCAGAUUUUACCUCCCUGGGGUUACAGUGGAGUACAUUGAAGCCAGUAAUUCUAUCUCCUUGGUCGACAGUGGAAUCGAUCGAAGAAUAGCAGAUUUUAUCUCCCUAAGCAGUAGUGGAGUAGAUGAUGACGGCGGAUCUUGUUUCCUCGACAUUGUAAUUGGAUAUAUUGAAGAAGAUAAUCCUAUUUCCCUGAAGUUGCAGUGGAGCGGAUUAACACCACGGAUCUUAUCUCUAUGAACUGCAAAGGAGCAGGUCGCGUCAACUUUCAGUGGAAUAAAUUGAAGCUACAAGUCAUAUCUCCCUGAAGUUGCAAUGGAGCAGACUAAAGAUAGCAAAUUUUGUUCUUUUGAGAAGUUACAAGAUAAGUCCUAUCUCCCUAACGUUGUAGUGGAGUGGAUUGAAGCACCAAUUCCUAUACCUCUGAAGAUGCAGUAGGUUGGAAUGAGGCUACUUGAAAAAGAAUGGCGCUAAGGUUCAGCACGACCGGGCAAAAUUGGCUAUUUCUGAAGUCUUUGCUAUGUUUUCGUUACACGAUAACAAGCAAAGAGGGGCAGCUGUAAUAGCCAAUUUUAACCCGGGGCCCAAAUUAACCAAUCAAAUCCAAUAAAACUUGGGCCAAUCCUGACCCUAUUGCAUUUGGCCCAAUAAGGCCCAAGUGUGCUAACCCUAGCCUAACCCUAAGCAGCAGUUAGCAGUAGCCACCCCACGUCGCAGCAACCUCCAGUGCCGUGCACGCCCCACGUUCGGCAGCCUCCCAAACUGUCCCACAUCUU
RNAcentral lists this long non-coding RNA (9596 nucleotides) under Gossypium barbadense (sea-island cotton). RNAcentral describes it as "long non-coding RNA (GBAR_LNC016241)". The record is from RNAcentral. Lineage: Eukaryota; Viridiplantae; Streptophyta; Magnoliopsida; Malvales; Malvaceae.